Panicum virgatum (switchgrass) is the source of this 910-nucleotide long non-coding RNA. RefSeq lists it as uncharacterized. The transcript is spliced from 2 exons. The record is from RefSeq and is a predicted model, not a curated record. NCBI's taxonomy places the organism in Eukaryota, Viridiplantae, Streptophyta, Magnoliopsida, Poales, Poaceae.
UAGUGCCUGUAAUAUUGCUCAGGCCAGGAUGCUGGUUGGGUUGUUCAAUAGGAGCUUUGGGGUCACGCAUGAGAAGGGCAGGCUUCAGUUGUGCUGGAAGUCAAGGCCUUUAAUCUCUGUGUCUGUUUUGACUCCUGUGUGAAAGGAAAUGAGGAUGUGAUGGUUUUAAGGGCUAAAUUUUCUUGUAAGAGUUUGCACUGGGGAUUUUUUGUUGGAAGAUAUCUUGUAGAAUGCAAUUAAAAUGCUAGUAUUCUGCUGGAAGUUUAGGGCUCUCUAGACCCUGAUCUGUGAUUGCAUAAUCUUUUUAGGUUCUUGCAGUGCAACUUUUACACAUGACAAGUGGCAGUAUAUUUUAUCCUUCUCUAAGAGGGCGUUUCUUCUGAAUUUUCUCAGUGUUUCAAAUCACAGGCCAUACCGCCACUUAGCGACGUCCUUCUCCACUCCAAAAGCUGUAGUAGGCAGCUAUGGGGCGGAAGGAAAUCCAACAGUGGUGCCGCCUCGCCAGCCGCGCCUUCGCGCGCGCCUGCUCCGCCGCAAGGCGCUGCCCCGGCCCUCGGGUCACCUCUCUGCAUGCGCAGGGCUCGACGACUCCUCCCUCACCGCCGUGCGGCUGGCCGUGCAAAACUUUCAGAGUUUCGACAUUAUGAUGAGUUGAUGACUGUCCAUGUUAAAACUUGUAUCUGUAACUGGCAUCUUCAGGCUUCAGAACAGAGAAAGAAGAUGAUCAUCAGUAACUGGAAAGUGCCGAUGGUUGUUAACACUUGUCCUGCAAUGUUAUGUGUAAACUUUCAGAGUCUCGACGCUAUGAUGACUGUCCAUGCUGAAUAAUAUCUGUGCUGGCAUUUACGGGCCAAACUUUGUAGGAGCAUCUACAGCUGAAUUCGAAGUGUACCCAAACUUUGUAGGAGCA